Molecule: long non-coding RNA, 1364 nt
Organism: Falco peregrinus (peregrine falcon)
Lineage: Eukaryota; Metazoa; Chordata; Aves; Falconiformes; Falconidae
Exons: 3
Source: RefSeq, a predicted model, not a curated record
GUGAAUCUGUCUACAUUAGAAGUGAUCGUAUAUUACCAAAUGAUACAUAUUUCAUUGUCUGUGAAUGAAGGUUUGAUAGUUCAGUUCAAAUAGAGAUGUCGCUCGAUUAAGAAACUGCCAGCCAAUUGCCAUCUUUGUUGAAUCACAGCAAUAAGCAAUUUAUGUACUUUGUACAUAUGUGCUAUGUACAUAAGUUUUCUUUAUGUACUUUAAAAGCCGUUUAUGCAGAGCAUAAACUAUGUAACAAACUCUACAUUAAAAAAAUUAGAAACGGAUUCUUUGGUGGUCUAGUGCAGUAAAUAAUCUCUGAAAGACUAGCAAUGCUAACAAAAAAAAAUAAUUCACUUCUUGCCUCUAUAGUGUACAUAACAAGUAAGUAAAACAUGUAGGUAUGAGAAAAUACUGUUAGUUCCUUGAUGCCAUGUGGGUAUUUAGAAUUUUUUCUUACGUGGUAAGGGAAAGCUAGCAUGUUGGGAAAUGCCAUGGAGAUGCUACUGCAACCGGAGAAAUUAUUCUAACUUCCAACCACCUGCAGCUGUACAGAGAUUCACUGGGUGUUCAGGUUUCUGCAUUUCCAGCGGUGCCAGGUGAGCAGGGCAGCAUGGAGCCCUUUCAGGCAGUGUGUUGCAAUCUUCACACCUCUGUGCUGCACGGGGGUUUCCUCUGGCACUGAACAUAGCCCUGCCCUGGUGUGAAGGAUGUUACUGGGACUGUGCUAUCUGUCUCAACAUUGCUGGCUGACCACAAACCAACACAGAGACCCUGUAGAGAACUUGUCUACAUCUUGCUUCAGUGAACCACAUAUGUUUACCCAAACACCACUGCAUUUGUUCGACCAUGAAAACCACACAUCUCCUGUUUUGUACCUUCACCCCAGCAAGUACGCCCAGUCCCCAGAGGAUGAAAAAUUCUCUGAAAAGACAGUAUGGGUGCUUGCACCACUGCUGAGUGAGGGGUGAGGCUAUGCAAAACAGCUCUUGGAAGGAGCAGAGACUUUUGGGUGAACAGCUCUCGAACAUUUAUAAAAGAACUGUGACAACCAGCACCGCGUGGAAUUCCCCACCUGACGUGAAGUCGAUCCGGGCUGACGGGACCCCCAGCUCCGUGCAGUGGAGGAAAGUUAUAAUCAUGAAGAACCCACAGUUCCUGUUCACUGAAAAAAGAAUCAAGUAAAAUCUUGACUGCUUAAGACAGGCAAAACAGUGGACUUGAAUACAGACACUGCUUGGGAAUGAGUCUGUGGUCAACAUGCCAGUGCUGAUGACAAAUGCUGUUAUUCAAAAACAGCUUUGCACUGCAGUUUGCAGGAGUUGGAAUUCAGUACUUAGAUGACGCUCCAGAUCAUUUUGAUAUCAGGGAACAAA